Long non-coding RNA from Ornithodoros turicata, 601 nucleotides. RefSeq lists it as uncharacterized. Lineage: Eukaryota; Metazoa; Arthropoda; Arachnida; Ixodida; Argasidae. The record is from RefSeq and is a predicted model, not a curated record. The transcript is spliced from 2 exons.
UCGGUUAUCGCAGAAAACAGUUCCCCGUAUACGACAAAGAAAAAAAAAAAGCGAUCUCAGAUAAGUGUUCAUGCGAGCCCGCUAUGCGAGGCAUAAAAGGUGAGCAAAUAAUGGCCUUUUUUCGGAAACAUUUUCUCGCUGCCUCGUUACGUCUUUCAAACUCAUCGUCUGCUCCGAAAAGGGGGCGUCAGAUAGACAGAAAGAGGGAGAGCACACGGAGUCGACCCAAUUUUGGCCAUGCCGCGGCCUCGAACGUACUCCGGGUUUAGCAUCCGCGCUGCUCAAAAAAGGCACUGGCUCCAGACCCCCCCAUUUUCGACCUACCGCCCCAAAACAAACCAUCCGCCCCGCCCCGCCAAACGCAGCCCGCCGCCGAACUACCGUCUGGCAACGCUCCACCACCCUCCUCACUCAAUCUGGCAACCUCCUUUCGAUUGCACAUGGCGGCGCCCAGGGCUGCUUCAGGCUACCUCCUGCAACGCUUGCAUUAAGAUAAACUGGGGACAAACUGACUGACGUGAGGAAUGAUGGACACAUUCCAAAACUUGUGUGGUUGGUAUAUGAGCGUUCAGCAAUAAAAAUCAAACAGUGAUCAAGAUCA